AUUGAACGCUGGCGGCAGGCCUAACACAUGCAAGUCGAGCGAGCGGCGGACGGGUGAGUAAUGUCUGGGAAACUGCCUGUUGGAGGGGGAUAACUACUGGAAACGGUAGCUAAUACCGCAUACCAUCAGAUGUGCCCAGAUGGGAUUAGCUAGUAGGUGGGGGAACGGCUCACCUAGGCGGCGAUCCCUAGCUGGUCUGAGAGGAUGACCAGCCACACGGGAACUGGGACACGGUCCAGACUCCUACGGGAGGCAGCAGUGGGGAAUAUUGCACAAUGGGCGAAAGCCUGAAGCAGCCAUGCGGCGGGUGUGAAGAAGGCCUUAGGGUUGUAAAGUACUUUCAGCGGGGAGGCGUUACCCGCAGAAGAAGCACCGGCUAACUCCGUGCCAGCAGCCGCGGUAAUAC
This 406-nucleotide ribosomal RNA is filed under the name uncultured bacterium. RNAcentral describes it as "partial 16S ribosomal RNA". It matches the Rfam family "Bacterial small subunit ribosomal RNA", at positions 29 to 526 of the family's 1533-position model. The record is from RNAcentral.